ACCCAAUUCCAUUGUUCUAGCUCGGUCAGGAGAGCAUGAGACUCUUAAUCUCAGGGUUGUGGGUCUGAGCCCCACAUUGGGCG
Non-coding RNA from Podarcis lilfordi (Lilford's wall lizard), 83 nucleotides. The record is from the annotation of a GenBank genome assembly. Lineage: Eukaryota; Metazoa; Chordata; Lepidosauria; Squamata; Lacertidae.